This 241-nucleotide ribosomal RNA is filed under the name Cryptosporidium baileyi. Its description in RNAcentral is "partial small subunit ribosomal RNA". It matches the Rfam family "Eukaryotic small subunit ribosomal RNA", at positions 397 to 639 of the family's 1831-position model. The record is from RNAcentral. Lineage: Eukaryota; Apicomplexa; Conoidasida; Eucoccidiorida; Cryptosporidiidae.
UGAGAAACGGCUACCACAUCUAAGGAAGGCAGCAGGCGCGCAAAUAACCCAAUCCUGACACAGGGAGGUAGUGACAAGAAAUAACAAUACAGGACCUAACGCUCUUGUAAUUGGAAUGAGUUAAGUAUAAACCCCUUUACAAGUAGCAAUUGGAGGGCAAGUCUGGUGCCAGCAGCCGCGGUAAUUCCAGCUCCAAUAGCGUAUAUUAAAGUUGUUGCAGUUAAAAAGCUCGUAGUUGGAU